This is a long non-coding RNA of Oncorhynchus keta (chum salmon), 271 nucleotides long. RefSeq lists it as uncharacterized. NCBI's taxonomy places the organism in Eukaryota, Metazoa, Chordata, Actinopteri, Salmoniformes, Salmonidae. The record is from RefSeq and is a predicted model, not a curated record. The transcript has 3 exons.
CCACCCCAGGUCACUUAUAAUAGGUCCCUUAUGAUAGGUCAAUUAUGAUACGUGACUUAUGAUAGGUCCCUUAUGAUAGGUCAAUUAUGAUGUUACUUAUGAUAGGUCACUUAUGAUAGGUCAAUUAUGAUGUUACUUAUGAUAGGUCACUUAUGAUAGGUCAAUUAUGAUAGGUUACUUAUGAUAGGUCCCUUAUGAUAGGUCCCUUAUUAUAGGUCAAUUAUGAUGUUACUUAUGAUAGGUCAAUUAUGAUAGGUGACUUAUGAUAGGU